RNAcentral lists this ribosomal RNA (119 nucleotides) under Pteropus alecto (black flying fox). Lineage: Eukaryota; Metazoa; Chordata; Mammalia; Chiroptera; Pteropodidae. The record is from RNAcentral.
GUCUAUAGCCGUGCCACCCUGAACAAGCCUGAUCCUGUCUGAUCUCGGAAGCUAAGCAGGGUCAGGCCUGGUUAGUACUUGGAUGGGAGACCACCUAGGAAGACCAGGUGCUGUAGGCA